Molecule: long non-coding RNA, 3180 nt
Organism: Mya arenaria
Lineage: Eukaryota; Metazoa; Mollusca; Bivalvia; Myida; Myidae
Exons: 3
Source: RefSeq, a predicted model, not a curated record
UAACGUGAAAUUUGAUACCUUUAGCAAAUGUUUACACAAUUUAACUUUGCUUCUGUCAUCAUGUUUGUAUGAAUCAAAAUACCUUUGGAACAUGUAUAUGACGAUUAAAGCAUAAAAUUCAUACGUAAGGGGAUUUUUAUGUGCUAAUUUUUUAAAUGUUUGUAAAUUAAUGAAUUGGUAUAAGUACAGCAGAUUUGAUAGUAAAUCUGACACCAUAUCGGUAUGUAUCUGUAAACACAGACUUCUAUAUAUCAAAAGAAAGGCUUAGUCUGUAGUUUAUAAAGAUGCAUGUUGUAGUUGUGAAUACCGUGGUACAACAAUGCUUUCCAAGAUGAUGUCUAACACGGCCGCUAAAACUUAUGCGAAGCUUUAACUAUUGCCUACAUAUUCAUAAUGACUAUAAAAUGCAAUUAAUACAGUCAGAACAACAUAAUAAGAUGCAUUUAUGCAUACAAUUACGCUAAUUGCAUGAGUGCUGAAGUUCUGAAUAUGACCAGACUAUCAAGGGAGGUGGACUAUAUACAGGGCUUAUUUACAGCAAAAUUUUCGAGUGGCAAAUUUCACGAUAUCUGGCUGGACUACACUCUGGAAGCUACAGAAAAUAGUUUUAAAGGAUACAGGCGGAAUCAUUGGUCUAAGAUUUAAAGAAGGUGCUUUGGCACAUUGGUUUCUCUCAGCACCAUUAGCAUCCAGAUACUAAACUAUGUGCCGCAAUGAUUUCUGUCACCAAAUUGAAAAGAAUAGACCACAUCAUGCAGACACCAAGGCGAAAAAAACUAAAAUAGAAACGUGAGCACAAUUGUAUCAGUGUUUGACAGUUCGUUUGUUUAAGACAAAACGUUUACUCGAAGCGGCGUGUUGUCGGAAAUCAAUAGCAUAUAUGACCCUAAGGCUUAAUUGUUCUUGUAGUAUUGCCAGGAAGACUCAUUCUCAAAGAACUUGUGCAAAAGACGAUUGAUUGGGAUAAACCUCUCUCGGACACCAAAACGACGCAAUAGGAAAACUUGAAAGUAUCUACCGAGAGUUUACAGAACAUAGAAAUACCUUUGAUGUACUUACCUGUUUCUCUGAGUGUUACCAGGAGAAAGGAGCUGCUACAUGUUAACUAUGCUUCAGAAAAACUUAUGCUGCAGCUGUCUACUUGUUAGCGAUGUCAGAUGACGGUACAUGGUCUAAUUAUUUAUUCUUGGAAAACCCAAGGUUGCUCCAAAAGGUGGACAUAACAAUUCCCUGAUUGAAACUUUGUGUGGUAGUUUUGGCUGUAGAAGUAUUUGAUAUUGUUUCUGUAAAUGUGACCGUCCACUUUGAUAUUGUCUCAUUUUUCACUGACAGCAAGGUUGUUCUCGGAUACAUUCAAAACAAAACUCGUUGACAUAUGUUGGCAAUAGCGUUGACAGGAUUCUGCGGAGUUGUUUUUAUAGCAAAACUGAUAGUAACCCAAUAGACUGUGCUACUACAAACUUUGAGACUUCAUGAAUUAUAGUUGAUAGUUUAUGGCUUCGUGGUCCAGUUGCAACAAUGCUAAACAGGAAGAUGUACCGGAAUGCUUUCCUUUGAUAAAUCUUGAUGUUAACAAAGAGGUUUGUGCUAAAGUGAACACCUUCGUCACUACCACGUCUGAAAGUUUUUCAUUUAGUUCUGGAUGUAGCAGAAUAGUCGUUGUUAUUGCUCUCUUGAAAAAUGUAGCUUGUUCUUAUCCAAGUCGUAUGUCACCUAGUGCUCAAACUCAUGACUUCACGAUAGACACAGAAACGUUCAUUCAACAGCAAGUACAGAACAAUGUAAAUAAGGAAAGGUUACAUUGCUUCAUAAACAUAAGACAAAUUCAGAAGGAUAGUUGUAUUAUUAUGGGUUUUGAAGGUGGGUGUUAGGUUGAGAAAAAAUAACCUGUCGAACCUUGAAAAACAUCCAGUGAUUCUUCCAAUAAAAUAUCAUAUUUCAAAACUUAAAGUGUAUUAUUUUCAUAAUCAAGUCAAUCAUAAAGGGAGAAAUAUAACCGAAAGAGCGCUACGGUCUGCCGGUCUCAGGGUUGUCGGUUCCAAGAAGUUGGUUUCUUCCAUAACAUCUUGUUACCGUCAGAUCGCUUUUCUCCCGGUCCACCCUGUCCUUAUAUUGUUGUAGAUGCGUUCGGACCUUGGGAAGUUGUGAUUCGUCGGACGACAGGAGGCCAUGCUUGUAGUAAACGUUGGGUUAAUAUGUUCACAUACCUUGUGAUAAAAAGUUGCAUAUAGAGGUUGUCGAGUCCAUGAGUGCUUCUUCUUUCAUAAAUGCAAUGCGUAGAUUGAUUGCAAUCAGAGGGUGUUUCCAAGUAGUGCUCACAAGCUAAUUUAUACAGUGAUAUUUUAUAAAAUAUCAGAUGGAGGAGGGUAUUGUGGACCAUAAUCUCGGAUACAUUCAAAAGAUAUUUUAUGCUAUAGACGUUUAAGAAUUCCGUUUGGACUAGUUCCGAAAUAUAACCAAUUGUGCGCUGAAUUAGGGUUAGGUUUAAGGUUAUUAUGUAUGCAUAUCCAUACCAAACUUAUCCAGUUUUGUGAUAUUUACCGAUUUUAUUUUACCCCAUAAUGUUUAAACUUCAUUAAGUAUAUGUAUAUAGAUUUUCAAAAAAUGAGGGACAAUUGUUUUGUCUUCGAGGUGAUACAAAAAUAAUCUAUGUGACAUUUUUCGACAAGUUUGUGAUUUGUUACAUAUUAUAAGUAUAUCUGUUAUUAAACCAUCACAUGUUGUCGUUUUACACUAUGUUUCGGAGCAUUAAUGUUACUACACACGUGUCAAUUUUUAUAUGGAUAUACAUACAAAAACAUAUUUAUUUGAGUGACAUUUUUCGACUUUAAUGCGCUUUCCUCUGCAAUGGUUUUUGUUGUUUAGUCAUCCAUUUGAUUGGUAUUACUCCCUGUGAUUGCAAUUUGUUUGACAAUCGAGUUAUGUUUUGCUCGUGUCAUUGAAGUUACUACUACCAUCGUUCAAAAUGAAACACGUACUAUUCUAACCACCCUCUUUGUCAGUGUUGCCUCUGUCGUUUCUGUUACCACUACCAACGCCGCUGUUAAAGCUAUCGUCAUAAUCGUUACCUCGUCUUCUCGCAGUUCCCAUCCGUCGGUAAAAUAAUUGAACAAGUAAACUAUUUAUUUCAUCAAUUGCAUACAUUAAACUCUCUGGUAUAGUGUAAUCAAGUCCCGCUGC